GACGAACGCUGGCGGCGUGCUUAACACAUGCAAGUCGAACGGAAAGGCCCUGCUUUUGUGGGGUGCUCGAGUGGCGAACGGGUGAGUAACACGUGAGUAACCUGCCCUUGACUUUGGGAUAACUUCAGGAAACUGGGGCUAAUACCGGAUAGGAGCUCCUGCUGCAUGGGGGGGGUUGGAAAGUUUCGGCGGUUGUGGCUGGACUCGCGGCUUAUCAGCUUGUUGGGGGAGUAGUGGCUUACCAAGUCUUCGACGGGUAGCCCGCCUGGGAGGGUGGCCGGCCUCAUUGGGCCUGCGGGACGGCCCAGACUGCUACGGGCGGCAGCAGUGGGGAGUAUUGCACAAUGGGGGGACGCCUGAUGCGACGGCGUCGCGUGCGGAAUGACGGCCUUCGGGUUGUAAACCGCUUUCGCCUGUGACGAAGCGUGAGUGACGGUACUGGGUAAAGAAGCACCGGCUAACUACGUG
Molecule: ribosomal RNA, 468 nt
Filed under: uncultured bacterium
Lineage: Bacteria
Description: partial 16S ribosomal RNA
Rfam family: Bacterial small subunit ribosomal RNA
Source: RNAcentral